UGAGACAGGUGCUGCAUGGCUGUCGUCAGCUCGUGUUGUGAAAUGUUGGGUUAAGUCCCGCAACGAGCGCAACCCUUAUCCUUUGUUGCCAGCGGUUCGGCCGGGAACUCAAAGGAGACUGCCAGUGAUAAACUGGAGGAAGGUGGGGAUGACGUCAAGUCAUCAUGGCCCUUACGAGUAGGGCUACACACGUGCUACAAUGGCAUAUACAAAGAGAAGCGACCU
Molecule: ribosomal RNA, 225 nt
Filed under: Citrobacter freundii
Lineage: Bacteria; Pseudomonadati; Pseudomonadota; Gammaproteobacteria; Enterobacterales; Enterobacteriaceae
Description: partial 16S ribosomal RNA
Rfam family: Bacterial small subunit ribosomal RNA
Source: RNAcentral